Molecule: ribosomal RNA, 484 nt
Filed under: uncultured bacterium
Lineage: Bacteria
Description: partial 16S ribosomal RNA
Rfam family: Bacterial small subunit ribosomal RNA
Source: RNAcentral
AUUGAACGCUGGCGGCAGGCCUAACACAUGCAAGUCGAGCGGAUGAAGGGAGCUUGCUCCUGGAUUCAGCGGCGGACGGGUGAGUAAUGCCUAGGAAUCUGCCUGGUAGUGGGGGAUAACGUCCGGAAACGGGCGCUAAUACCGCAUACGUCCUGAGGGAGAAAGUGGGGGAUCUUCGGGCCUCACGCUAUCAGAUGAGCCUAGGUCGGAUUAGCUAGUUGGUGGGGUAAAGGCCUACCAAGGCGACGAUCCGUAACUGGUCUGAGAGGAUGAUCAGUCACACUGGAACUGAGACACGGUCCAGACUCCUACGGGAGGCAGCAGUGGGGAAUAUUGGACAAUGGGCGAAAGCCUGAUCCAGCCAUGCCGCGUGUGUGAAGAAGGUCUUCGGAUUGUAAAGCACUUUAAGUUGGGAGGAAGAGCAGUAAGUUAAUACCUUGCUGUUUUGACGUUACCAACAGAAUAAGCACCGGCUAACUUCGUG